AACGCUGGCGGCGUGCUUAACACAUGCAAGUCGAACGGAAAGGCCCUGCUUUUGUGGGGUGCUCGAGUGGCGAACGGGUGAGUAACACGUGAGUAACCUGCCCUUGACUUUGGGAUAACUUCAGGAAACUGGGGCUAAUACCGGAUAGGAGCUCCUGCUGCAUGGUGGGGGUUGGAAAGUUUCGGCGGUUGGGGAUGGACUCGCGGCUUAUCAGCUUGUUGGUGGGGUAGUGGCUUACCAAGGCUUUGACGGGUAGCCGGCCUGAGAGGGUGACCGGCCACAUUGGGACUGAGAUACGGCCCAGACUCCUACGGGAGGCAGCAGUGGGGAAUAUUGCACAAUGGGCGGAAGCCUGAUGCAGCAACGCCGCGUGCGGGAUGACGGCCUUCGGGUUGUAAACCGCUUUCGCCUGUGACGAAGCGUGAGUGACGGUAAUGGGUAAAGAAGCACCGGCUAACUACGUGCCAGCAGCCGCGGUGAUACGUAGGGUGCGAGCGUUGUCCGGAUUUAUUGGGCGUAAAGGGCUCGCAGGUGGUUGAUCGCGUCGGAAGUGUAAUCUUGGGGCUUAACCCUGAGCGUGCUUUCGAUACGGGUUGACUUGAGGAAGGUAGGGGAGAAUGGAAUUCCUGGUGGAGCGGUGGAAUGCGCAGAUAUCAGGAGGAACACCAGUGGCGAAGGCGGUUCUCUGGGCCUUUCCUGACGCUGAGGAGCGAAAGCGUGGGGAGCGAACAGGCUUAGAUACCCUGGUAGUCCACGCUGUAAACGGUGGGUACUAGGUGUGGGGUCCAUUCCACGGGUUCCGUGCCGUAGCUAACGCUUUAAGUACCCCGCCUGGGGAGUACGGCCGCAAGGCUAAAACUCAAAGGAAUUGACGGGGCCCCGCACAAGCGGCGGAGCAUGCGGAUUAAUUCGAUGCAACGCGUAGAACCUUACCUGGGUUUGACAUGGAUCGGGAGUGCUCAGAGAUGGGUGUGCCUCUUUUGGGGUCGGUUCACAGGUGGUGCAUGGCUGUCGUCAGCUCGUGUCGUGAGAUGUUGGGUUAAGUCCCGCAACGAGCGCAACCCUUGUUCACUGUUGCCAGCACGUUAUGGUGGGGACUCAGUGGAGACCGCCGGGGUCAACUCGGAGGAAGGUGGGGAUGACGUCAAGUCAUCAUGCCCCUUAUGUCCAGGGCUUCACGCAUGCUACAAUGGCUGGUACAGAGAGUGGCGAGCCUGUGAGGGUGAGCGAAUCUCGGAAAGCCGGUCUCAGUUCGGAUUGGGGUCUGCAACUCGACCUCAUGAAGUCGGAGUCGCUAGUAAUCGCAGAUCAGCAACGCUGCGGUGAAUACGUUCCCGGGGCUUGUACACACCGCCCGUCAAGUCAUGAAAGUUGGUAACACCCGAAGCCGGUGGCCUAACCGUUGUGGGGGAGCCGUCGAAGGUGGGACUGGUGAUA
Molecule: ribosomal RNA, 1437 nt
Filed under: uncultured organism
Description: partial small subunit ribosomal RNA
Rfam family: Bacterial small subunit ribosomal RNA
Source: RNAcentral